This 406-nucleotide ribosomal RNA is filed under the name uncultured bacterium. RNAcentral describes it as "partial 16S ribosomal RNA". It matches the Rfam family "Bacterial small subunit ribosomal RNA", at positions 30 to 526 of the family's 1533-position model. The record is from RNAcentral.
AUUGAACGCUGGCGGCAGGCCUAACACAUGCAAGUCGAACGAGUGGCGGACGGGUGAGUAAUGUCUGGGAAACUGCCUUGUGGCGGGGGAUAACUACUGGAAACAGUAGCUAAUACCGCAUACUAUCGGAUCUGCCCAGAUGGGAUUAGCUAGUUGGUGGGGUAAAGGCUCACCAAGGCGACGAUCCCUAGCUGGUCUGAGAGGACGACCAGCCACACUGGAACUGAGACACGGUCCAGACUCCUACGGGAGGCAGCAGUGGGGAAUAUUGGACAAUGGGCGAAAGCCUGAUGCAGCCAUGCCGCGUGUAUGAAGAAGGCCUUCGGGUUGUAAAGUACUUUCGGCGGGGAGGCGUUACCCGCAGAAGAAGCACCGGCUAACUCCGUGCCAGCAGCCGCGGUAAUAC